GGUUGCGAUCAUACCAGCACUAAUGCACCGGAUCCCAUCAGAACUCCGCAAUUAAGCGUGCUUGGGCGAGAGUAGUACUAGGAUGGGUGACUCCCUGGGAAGUCCUCGUGUUGCAACCC
Molecule: ribosomal RNA, 119 nt
Filed under: Helianthus annuus (common sunflower)
Lineage: Eukaryota; Viridiplantae; Streptophyta; Magnoliopsida; Asterales; Asteraceae
Source: RNAcentral